This 468-nucleotide ribosomal RNA is filed under the name uncultured bacterium. RNAcentral describes it as "partial 16S ribosomal RNA". It matches the Rfam family "Bacterial small subunit ribosomal RNA", at positions 28 to 507 of the family's 1533-position model. The record is from RNAcentral.
GACGGACGCUGGCGGCGUGCUUAACACAUGCAAGUCGAACGGAAAGGCCCUGCUUUUGUGGGGUGCUCGAGUGGCGAACGGGUGAGUAACACGUGAGUAACCUGCCCUUGACUUUGGGAUAACUUCAGGAAACUGGGGCUAAUACCGGGUAGGAGCUCCUGCUGCAUGGUGGGGGUUGGAAAGUUUCGGCGGUUGGGGAUGGACUCGCGGCUUAUCAGCUUGUUGGUGGGGUAGUGGCUUACCAAGGCUUUGACGGGUAGCCGGCCUGAGAGGGUGACCGGCCACAUUGGGACUGAGAUACGGCCCAGACUCCUACGGGAGGCAGCAGUGGGGAAUAUUGCACAAUGGGCGGAAGCCUGAUGCAGCAACGCCGCGUGCGGGAUGACGGCCUUCGGGUUGUAAACCGCUUUCGCCUGUGACGAAGCGUGAGUGACGGUAAUGGGUAAAGAAGCACCGGCUAACUACGUG